CAAUAGCGUAUAUUAAAGUUGUUGCGGUUAAAAAGCUCGUAGUUGGAUUUCUGCCGAGGACGACCGGUCCGCCCUGUGGGUGAGCAUCUGGAUCGGCCUGGGCAUCUUCUUGGGGAACGUAGCUGCACUUGACUGUGUGGUGCGGUAUCCAGGACUUUUACCUUGAGGAAAUUAGAGUGUUUCAAGCAGGCGCACGCCUUGAAUACAUUAGCAUGGAAUAAUAAGAUAGGACUUUGGUUCUAUUUUGUUGGUUUCUAGGACUGAAGUAAUGAUUGAUAGGGAUAGUUGGGGGUGCUAGUAUUCAGCGGCCAGAGGUGAAAUUCUUGGAUUCGCUGAAGACUAACUACUGCGAAAGCAUUCACCAAGGAUGUCUUCUUUAAUCAAGAACGAAAGUUGGGGGAUCGAAGAUGAUUAGAUACCGU
RNAcentral lists this ribosomal RNA (422 nucleotides) under uncultured eukaryote. Its description in RNAcentral is "bacterial SSU rRNA". It matches the Rfam family "Eukaryotic small subunit ribosomal RNA", at positions 592 to 1018 of the family's 1831-position model. The record is from RNAcentral.